This 350-nucleotide ribosomal RNA is filed under the name uncultured bacterium. Its description in RNAcentral is "bacterial SSU rRNA". It matches the Rfam family "Bacterial small subunit ribosomal RNA", at positions 355 to 696 of the family's 1533-position model. The record is from RNAcentral.
UGGGGAAUAUUGGACAAUGGGCGGAAGCCUGAUCCAGCAAUACCGCGUGUGUGAAGAAGGCCUUAGGGUUGUAAAGCACUUUCAAUUAGGAAGAAGUUGUAUGCGCUAAUAUCGCAUAUAAUUGACGUUAUUAAUAGAAGAAGCACCGGCUAACUCUGUGCCAGCAGCCGCGGUAAUACAGAGGGUGCGAGCGUUAAUCGGAAUCACUGGGCGUAAAGCGUAUGUAGGUGGAAUAGUAAGUUAGGUGUGAAAUCCCUGAGCUCAACUCAGGAAUUGCGCUUAAAACUGCUAGUUCUAGAGUAUUGGAGAGGAGAGCAGAAUUUCUGGUGUAGCGGUGAAAUGCGUAGAUA